UGGAAGCUUGCCUAUGCCUAGCAAUGUCAUUCGGAGAGAGAGUGGGGCUCCUCCCUCUCGGUGGCCAACGGGAUGAGUCACGCGUGUAAAUCCCCUGUCUUUGAAAGGGAGAUCUGUGCCAGAAGAGAUAUCUUAUACCCUAUAUGUCGCUCUUUUGUCUCUAAGGCAAAAGGUAAAACCAAGGUUGCUCAAGGCUUCGGUUCAAAAAGGGGUUCCCGUCCUAUCAGGUAUUUGGGGGGGUAAUGCCCUACCAACCCAAUGACGGGUACCUGGCCUUAAAGAAUAAUCACCCCCAUGGGAACUAAAACACGGCCCGCACCCCUACGGGGGGCACCAUUGGGAAAUCUGGGGCAAGGGGCCCAAGCCUAACCCCCCAUUGCCCCUUGAGGAAAAAACCCCUUCGGGGGGUAAACCUCUGUCAAAUGGAAAAAUGGAACUAGGGGCUAUUACCUCCUGGUCUUGACGGUCCCUUCAAAGGAAGGAACGGUUAAUUCCUUGCCACCACCCCCGGUAUU
This 515-nucleotide ribosomal RNA is filed under the name uncultured bacterium. RNAcentral describes it as "partial 16S small subunit ribosomal RNA". It matches the Rfam family "Bacterial small subunit ribosomal RNA", at positions 30 to 524 of the family's 1533-position model. The record is from RNAcentral.